Molecule: long non-coding RNA, 1148 nt
Organism: Ostrea edulis (European flat oyster)
Lineage: Eukaryota; Metazoa; Mollusca; Bivalvia; Ostreida; Ostreidae
Exons: 2
Source: RefSeq, a predicted model, not a curated record
GUACUUCCGAUUGAUAUUGUUUACUCUGGUAACAAAGCUGUCUUUAACAAAAUAUGCAUUUUGUGGCACGAAAGGUCGCAAUUCAGAUAAUGGAAAAAAGGGGUGUAUAUCUACUUUGGAUGAUGUUAAAGUUCACCCUUUCCCAACCCUGGAAAAAAUGUUCACGCAGAGGAAACGAUGGCGUCAUUUGUUUAGAAAACCACGAGCAGCAGAACAGUGCAGAAAAUUAGAGCGAUUAUUACAUUCCGUAAAAGCUGAACCAACACAGAAGCAUCCCUGUUCUAGCCAUUUCACCAUAUGAAAGGCGAAGAUAACAAACAGUGAUCCAAGUUUUAAGAAAGCCAAGAGGUUGAUAACAAUGACUGUACUCCUUAUGUUGACUGGAAUUAUUGACUGGUAUGCAGUAAAACAGCUGAGGGAAAGUUCAACUAUUAAUUCAUUUCAGCCGGGUAAGAAUCAAUAUCCUUUUGUGUAUUAUACAUCUGCAAUUCUUUUCUUUUGCUGCUUCAAAUCUAGUGUAUUUGAAAUUUUAAUUCUGAUAUUUUGGUAUUAUUAUAGGUAGUCUGGCUGUAUUAUAGGUAAUCUGGCAGUAAUGGCAUGACAUCCUGAGAGCUAACCAACAUGGUUAAUGAUGUAUAGAGACACUGUCUGAAGACCUCGAGGGAAAGGCAAGGAAAAUGGAUGAUCCACUUCCUAUAUCCCUGUAAAAAAGAGGAAGGAUACCACAAUAUUGACGAUAAAUUAUUGUCAAUUCAAGAAGCAAAGUUGUGAAAAUGCAAAAACAAUAUUUAAUGUAUUUGUUAGAAAAAUAUCAUUAACUGCAUAUAUAUUUCUUGACCUUAUUCAGGAAUACAUCAGAUGUAGUCAUUCAUAUUAAAACUGAAUCUAUGAAUUUUCAUAACUUUUAUCAAUAAAGUUUACUAUAUUUAUUUUACACGUAUCUAAUUUCCCUAAUACAUUGUACUCAUGGGAGUUUGCUUGCAUUCAAUGUUCUGACAUGAAUCCGAAAAUGUGCAUAUUUCAUCACAAGAGCCCUCCUGGGCACUAAGCAUGUGUCAUGUAUAAAGCAGACUCAAACAAGAUCUACCAACAUAAUAUUUGAAUGAACACAAAUGGUCUUAGAUACUCUUUCUUUUCCUCUGCAAUAU